GCCACAGCUCAAUGGCAGAGCUUCUGUCGCGCAUGCAGAACGUCCCUGGUUCAACCCCAGCAUCUCCAGGUAGAACA
Podarcis lilfordi (Lilford's wall lizard) is the source of this 77-nucleotide non-coding RNA. The record is from the annotation of a GenBank genome assembly. Lineage: Eukaryota; Metazoa; Chordata; Lepidosauria; Squamata; Lacertidae.